RNAcentral lists this ribosomal RNA (253 nucleotides) under uncultured bacterium. Its description in RNAcentral is "partial 16S ribosomal RNA". It matches the Rfam family "Bacterial small subunit ribosomal RNA", at positions 524 to 776 of the family's 1533-position model. The record is from RNAcentral.
UACGUAGGGGGCAAGCGUUGUCCGGAAUCAUUGGGCGUAAAGAGCGUGUAGGCGGUCUGUCGCGUCUGCUGUGAAAAUCCGGGGCUCAACCCCGGACUUGCAGUGGGUACGGGCAGACUAGAGUGUGGUAGGGGAGACUGGAAUUCCUGGUGUAGCGGUGAAAUGCGCAGAUAUCAGGAGGAACACCGAUGGCGAAGGCAGGUCUCAGGGCCACUACUGACGCUGAGAAGCGAAAGCAUGGGGAGCGAACAGG